UACGGAGGGUGCGAGCGUUGUUCGGAAUUACUGGGCGUAAAGCGCGUGUAGGCGGCAAGGCAGGUCGGAUGUGAAAGCCCGCGGCUCAACCGUGGAAGUGCACUCGAAACCGCCUAGCUGGAGUCUCGGAGAGGAAGGUGGAAUGCUUGGUGUAGAGGUGAAAUUCGUAGAUAUCAAGCAGAACACCUGUGGCGAAGGCGGCCUUCUGGACGAUGACUGACGCUGAGACGCGAAAGCGUGGGGAGCAAACAGG
RNAcentral lists this ribosomal RNA (253 nucleotides) under uncultured bacterium. Its description in RNAcentral is "partial 16S ribosomal RNA". It matches the Rfam family "Bacterial small subunit ribosomal RNA", at positions 524 to 776 of the family's 1533-position model. The record is from RNAcentral.